This 253-nucleotide ribosomal RNA is filed under the name uncultured bacterium. RNAcentral describes it as "partial 16S ribosomal RNA". It matches the Rfam family "Bacterial small subunit ribosomal RNA", at positions 524 to 776 of the family's 1533-position model. The record is from RNAcentral.
UACGUAGGUGGCAAGCGUUAUCCGGAAUUAUUGGGCGUAAAGAGCGCGCAGGCGGUCGAUCAAGUCGAGUGUGAAAGCCCCCGGCUCAACUGGGGAGGGUCAUUCGAUACUGAUCGACUCGAAGGCAGGAGAGGGUAGUGGAAUUCCCGGUGUAGUGGUGAAAUGCGUAGAUAUCGGGAGGAACACCAGUGGCGAAGGCGACUACCUGGCCUGUUCUUGACGCUGAGGCGCGAAAGCUAGGGGAGCAAACGGG